This 64-nucleotide transfer RNA is filed under the name Nocardia uniformis. Its description in RNAcentral is "tRNA-Met". Lineage: Bacteria; Bacillati; Actinomycetota; Actinomycetes; Mycobacteriales; Nocardiaceae. The record is from RNAcentral.
GGGGAGUUGCUCGGCAGCUCGCUGGGCUCAUAACCCAGAGGUCGCAGGUUCAACCCUGUCCCCG